This 689-nucleotide ribosomal RNA is filed under the name uncultured Bacteroidales bacterium. RNAcentral describes it as "bacterial SSU rRNA". It matches the Rfam family "Bacterial small subunit ribosomal RNA", at positions 48 to 724 of the family's 1533-position model. Lineage: Bacteria; Pseudomonadati; Bacteroidota; Bacteroidia; Bacteroidales. The record is from RNAcentral.
CUAACACAUGCAAGUCGAGGGGCAGCGGGGAGGUAGCAAUACCUUUGCCGGCGACCGGCGCACGGGUGAGUAACACGUAUGCAAUCCACCUGUAACAGGGGGAUAACCCGGAGAAAUCCGGACUAAUACCCCAUAAUAUGGGCUCUCCGCAUGGAGGGUCCAUUAAAGAGAGCAAUUUUGGUUACAGACGAGCAUGCGCUCCAUUAGCCAGUUGGCGGGGUAACGGCCCACCAAAGCGACGAUGGAUAGGGGUUCUGAGAGGAAGGUCCCCCACAUUGGAACUGAGACACGGUCCAAACUCCUACGGGAGGCAGCAGUGAGGAAUAUUGGUCAAUGGUCGGCAGACUGAACCAGCCAAGUCGCGUGAGGGAAGACGGCCCUACGGGUUGUAAACCUCUUUUGUCGGAGAGUAAAGUACGCUACGUGUAGCGUAUUGCAAGUAUCCGAAGAAAAAGCAUCGGCUAACUCCGUGCCAGCAGCCGCGGUAAUACGGAGGAUGCAAGCGUUAUCCGGAUUUAUUGGGUUUAAAGGGUGCGUAGGCGGCACGCCAAGUCAGCGGUGAAAUUUCCGGGCUCAACCCGGACUGUGCCGUUGAAACUGGCGAGCUAGAGUGCACAAGAGGCAGGCGGAAUGCGUGGUGUAGCGGUGAAAUGCAUAGAUAUCACGCAGAACCCCGAUUGCGAAGGCAG